Long non-coding RNA from Meriones unguiculatus (Mongolian gerbil), 915 nucleotides. RefSeq lists it as uncharacterized. The transcript is spliced from 4 exons. NCBI's taxonomy places the organism in Eukaryota, Metazoa, Chordata, Mammalia, Rodentia, Muridae. The record is from RefSeq and is a predicted model, not a curated record.
CUGUGUGCUCAGCCGGGGAGCGAGCGGCAGCUCUCCACAGUGCUGACGAGGAUGAUGCGUCCCCGGCUUCCACCCUUGAUUAGGAACCAGAGAUGAAUGGUCGCGUUCCCCCACCCCGCCACCCUGGCAGCCAAUCGGCAGGGACUCUCCAUCUGCAGCAGCAGGCACCAGGGGCCGAGGAGACCAGAUGUCUGAUGCCUUAUUUGUCCAGAGAGAGCCAAGUUGUGUCUGGAUAAUGGAGCUUCUCGGAGUGCAGGGGACCUGCUCACUGCAGUAAGAGGAAGAUGUGAUCUCUCCUGCUGCCAGGCCAGAUGCUUGAAGCCACGCCUCUCUGUAACGGUGGACUUUUAUCCUCCUGGAACCAUAAAACCAGAGUAAACGCUUUCUUCUAUAAGCUGCUCUUGGCCAUAGCAUUUUAUCACAGCAAGAGAAAAGCAAUUCGCACACAACCACUCUGGAAUGGCUCAGCAUUCUUGGGAGGUUCAGUUGGGAAGGAUUCAGAACUGAGUGGAGUUUCUGCAACUUAGACAUCCAGGUUUAGACCCCUCUGUCUCUAUGUCAGUCAGCACUGGCACACUGGAGCAGAAACUCUGCGUUCUGCAGAAGGACGAGUGGCAAGCACUAGACCAAACCUGGCCAUGGAGCUGGGAAGUCCUUUAAGGCUCACUGCCUCUGCGCCUGGUGCUGGGUCUGAAGUCACUGCAGGCCAGCAGUGUGAAUCCCGGAGGAGCACUGAGACAAAAGACAAACUGGAGUCACAAAGACAGAUCGCCCCGUGGAGCAAAAAGCUGGCUCAUACCAGCUCUGGAGAGUUCAUUAUUAAAUUUCAGAGUCUUUUUGAUACAACUGUUAAACACAGCCAUCACUAAAAAUUUUAUUAAGCAAGCCUACAAGUAAAUAAAUUAUAUUAAAAAC